AAAUAUUUGGUGUUUCUAUCUCCAUCUGAGUGCCAAGCAACUAUAGAUUUCUCCCUCCGAAAUUUUUCUUCUCCAUUUAGGGCAUUUAUAAGGCAAUUUGAGCUGCUUUGUGUUGCUCCAUCAUUGAAUCAUAAAUACCUAGAAAAUCAAUGUUAGAUUGAAUAUUAGACAAUUGCUGCUCAGCUUCCUUAACCAAGUUGUGAACAUUACCAAAAACUAUUUUUGUUCCAAAUCUUCAAUUUUUGCUUUAAAAUUUUUAGCUUUGGUUUAAAACAAACAUAGGGCAACCAACUAUAUUGAUAUUCCAUGCUUCUUGAAUUAUUCCUUUACAAUCCUCAUGUUGAAUCCACAUUUGCAUAAAUUUAAAUCGAGGCAUGAAUCUAUGCUGAGAAUUCUCAAAUUCAAGUAAAAGAGGGAAGUGAUCUGAUUUAUGCUUAAUUAAAGUUGAAACAUGAAGAGAGCUGCACAAAUCAAUCCAAGAUUGGUUACAAAUGUCCCUGUCUAAUCUUCUCUCAGUAUGCAUGAGGCCCCUUCUUCCAUUAGACCAAGUGAACUGCACAUCUCUUGUUGGAAAGUGAAUGAAAUUAUUUGUAUCAAACCAGUCAGGAAACUCAUUCAUAAGGCCUCUAGCAUGAGGAGUGGCACCUCUAGGCUCAUGAGAAACUAUAAUAGAGUGAAAAUCACCUAUUGAACACCAAGGAAGGUUUAGUUGUGUUUAAAGAUGUCUUUUAAGAAUGUGGUUAGUUGAUGCAUAGAUGGUCGAUAUACCAAAGGUUUGGUUAUUAUCUACAAUGGUGAAGGUUACUUGUUGGUUAUCAUAAGAAAUUAUGUCAGGGUUCAAGCUAUUGGAGUAGAAGCACCAAAGAUUAGGGAUAAGGUCAUCUCUAUGAUUAAAGGCAAAAGGUUUAAAAUGUAAUCUAUGAAACCAAUUUCUAGGGAAAUGAUCAAAUAGCAUCCAAGGUUCAGCAAUGAAGAUAAAGUUAGGUUUAUGUGCUAAUUGAGGUUUUUAAGAGCUAGUCUUGAGGGGAAGUUAGUUAUCCCUCUAAUGUUCCAAAAUAAACACUUCAUUUGAAAUGUUUAGAUGAAACCUUAGAUCUUGUAAGGUAAGAUGUCUUGACUUUUGAAGGUAAAGCGUUAUGUGUUUUUUUUCCUAAGUGAUUUUCUAGUAACAAGUUGAAAACAUGAUCUUUCUAUAUUAGCUUGUACACCUCUUUAUCGAUUUGAUGAUCUAUGUCUGCUUCAGCUGCUAGAGAAUCAUUGAGUGUUGCUUGUUGAUUCCUAAUCUUCUCCUCAUCUGCAUCUACAAGAUUGGACCAAGAUUCAUUUAGAAAUUGCAUAUCUUUCUAUAUUCUAUAUGGUGUAGGCUGGAUGGUAUCAAGGUUCUCCAUUUCUAGUCUUUGUGUAGAGUCUACAAACUCAUAUGCUUGUGAGCUUUGAUCCUCCAAAUCAGAGUCAUUCACAGGGUGAUCUGCAAUUCCUUCAUUUACUUCACCUUCUAUUCCCCUACUUUCUCUGCUUCCAGGAGUUGAAAUCAUGAUUCCAAUAUCCUGAUUCUCCUGAUUGUGCUCUAAAAUGUUAGUAGCCUUAUUAUUCAAAUGAGAGAUGUUAUCAACAUCUUUCUGCAGGGAAACAUUUAUGUCUCCUUCUUCAAUCUCCAAAUCUAAAACUGCCAUAUCCUUGGUGAUCCAUUUCUUCUUCUGUUGUUGCACAUCAAUGGGCUGCUUCUUUGCAUCUUUGUCCACAGCAUCAACAUUUUCAACAGCUAUUUGCAUCUUAUGUUGUCUGUCUGUUUCUGGCUUAUUUGCUUUCCUACAAAUCAUAGCAUUAUGCCUCACCAUCUUUCAAAAACCACAAAAUUCAGGUAAGAUCUCAUAUUCAAACUCACAAAGAAGGAAAAACCCUUCCUUUCAACCAAAACUUCAAAUUUCAGAUCCUUUGCUAGGUCAAUGUCCACCAAAACCAUAGCAAAGUGACCAAAGGUUCGUUCUAUGGUUGGCUUGCUUGUAAUAGAAUCAACAUAAACAGGUGUUCCCACACUGCUUUCUAUACAAAAAUAAUCAUCUUUCUCCAAUAUUCUUGAGCUAAGCCAUGGAUUUUCAGCCAAACCUGAACAUAGGUGUUAGUUUUCAAGCUACGGUUAAAGUCAUUAGUCCAUGGAAAAAGUUGCAAAAAGCCAGAGUUUAAAAGCCAUGAACUAACAUAUCUCACUCUUCUAGCAUCUUCAAUAGAAGAGAAAACAAACUCAUAAAAACCCUUCCCUAAGGAGGUUAUUCCCCAUGGGGAUAGAUCCUUCCAAAUCGGUUUUAACUUCUUUUUCAAGGCAACAACAGUUAAAGGGGAAGAACCCUUAGGCCAUAUGACUCUUGCAUGUAAAUUAUUUUUACAUGUAUACAACCCUAGAUCAUAUUCAUCAUCGGGGAUUUAUUAGCUGUUAUUUGCACCAGCCUCAAUUAAUGUGGUCAACAAUAGUUGACUUUUACUCUUGCAGGAAUCGAAGUAUUUUCUUCAAACAAAGGAGUUCGACGAGAUGUUGGAUUUAGCGUAGAGAGUCUCAAAGCAUUGAAGUUCGACAAGUGACCGAGCAAGAAGCAAAGUCGUCGAAGUCAAGCAAUUGCCUUUGGAGCGGAAAGAUUCAAAUUUUAAAAGAGAAGUGGUUUCCUCAAGGAAGAACAUGGGAGACAAGCGGUUGUCUAAAUGGAAGGAGUGUUGAUCGUGGGAUUAGUUUCUUUCCACUUAUUUCCUAUGUAUAAAUAAUAGUUUCCCAUAGGGAAAACAGGUCGCAAAUCGUAUAUACAUAAUUCUAAAACACUCGAAGUACCGGCGCAAGAGAAAAGAGUCUUAAAGAAUGUAUGUAAAGGAUUUGUCGAACCACUUUUAUUUUUAAUGCACUUGCAUUUGUACUUUUUUCUUUUCUUUAAGUUUCUGCAAUUUCAACUUAAUGUUUUAAAACAUGUCGAAAGACGCCACAUGGUCUCGUUCCGUUCGUUAAGCAACCUAUGAAAGCGCAACAACAAAAUGCACAACAUGUCCUAGGAUCUCUGGUUUCGUCCUUCUUGUUAUAAUCAAAAUCAGUCGGUAUUUGUUUACCAAAAACACUGCUAAACAUGGUCGAAAUAGAGAACUUAUCUCCCUUAAGUGUCGGUUUAGGCAGCUGGCUAGAGGGUGUAUCACAAACAUUGGAUAAAACUUGCGCGAAGGUUUUUUGUGCAGAGGGUUGAGUUUUUGUUUUUGAUUGUGGUGCGAUCUUUGCAGAUUCAGAAUCAUCUAAACAUUUCUAAGGGAUUGUGAAUGGUUUUGAGGCUAAAGGAGGUGGAACAGGCAUGGUGGUGGAAAGGGUUGGUGAAGGCAUAAAGGCGGUGAUCAACUGUGUUAUUCUCCAGAGCAAAUAUCAAGUCCCAUUUUUCACGUGCCAUAUCUUUUUAUCAUGUGGUAUAUGAAUUUUCUCGUUGUGGUUGCCUACGUAGCCGGUGAUAUGCAUUUGGACAUCAUUUUCAUGGCAUAACAUAUGCAUUUCUGUGUGGUGCCUAAGUGGCCAGUGAUCUUUACUUCUUUGUGGUUCCUUAGUGGUCGGUGAUUUUUACUUCUUUGUGGUGUCUUAGUGGUCAGUGAUUUUUUCCUUUUUUAUGGUUUCUUAGUGGUCGGUGAUAUUAUAUCUGGAUCAUGUAGUAAUUAAGAGCAUACAACUUAUGCAUAAUUUCAUUAGAGUUUGUUAUACAUUUGUGAUUUAAUAAUUGACUAAACUCAUUUAUAGCAAAAGAGAUUUGUAUGGACUUAUCUUAAAGUAUAUGACUUGAUUUUACUUUUAUUUAUUUUUUAUCGAGAAAUUUUGAUACUAUCUACUUUGUGGCAUUGUUAUUGUGCUUUGAGUAUGAACCAAUUUGGAUAAGGAAAUUGACCAUUAAAUGAAUAUAAUGUUGUAGAUACCAAAGUGGAAAUUUGAUGCUUGAUGUGUGAAGAAAUGCGUACCGGGAAAAUUGAGUUUUUCAAAGAAAAAAAAUUAGUUUUUAUUGAGUUGUAAUUGUAAUUUAAACUAUCAUUGAAUUAUUGUUAUUUUUUUUAGUCAACGAAUUUGAAAAUGCAGAUGUGGAUUUAUUCUGUUAUGAAAUAAUCGAUUUUAAAGGAAAUUUUGUUAUUAGUUUAUUUUAAUAGUUUGCAUAUAGAUAUAUUCUCUCUUAAGUUUUUUUUUCUAAUAGUGAAUCAAAAAAAUAAAUAUAGUCUCAUUUUUUAUAAAUGAAUAUUUUUAAGUAAUGUUUUGGAUUAAAAAUCUGGGAUGUUACACUUAACAUUCCAAUAAUUGGGUUGUUACAACAUCUCCAAUGUAGACAACAACUUGAGGGUCAAAUCUAGUACCACAACAAAAGUCAAAUUUCAUUCCCUAAAAGGUGUCAUAAGUUGUACGAAUAAAGUUUCAUCUUGCAUAUCUUCUAAACAAGCAUUUUAUAAUAAUUAGCAAUAAUAAUUUCUUCUUAGAAGAUGGAAUUUAAAUGAUGGACUCCCUAAUCAAAAUAUAAUUUGAAAUGUUUGGAAAAUUAAAAGUGAUACAAUUUUGAUAGGUGGGGUUGGACAAAAAGCUCGAUAUGCCUUAAAUGGAGGAGCAAAAUCAAUAAAUGCAAAAUUAAGAAAGAAUAAAACAAUCUAAUUAUUAUAUUAUUUAGUGUUUUGUUUCAUUUCAUUACCAAUAUCUUUGAGUACAAAGUUAUAAUUGCAAGGACCGUUGAAAUUAUAAGAAGAGAAAUAUAAAAAGACAAUUAUUGGGUUCUCCAAGAUUAACUAAAUGAAAACUAGAAAAUAUUAUAGUAUAAGGUAGUAUUUCAUAUAUUUAUUGCUAUUAUAAGAGCACAUUCUUCCAUUCAUGAUGUAAGUGUACUCUUUUUAGGUUGGAACUCAUGUAAUCGAGCUAAUCUACACCAGUUAUUAACACACUCAUAUUGACGAAUAUAAUCACUCUUUGGACAAUCAUCAGUAGUUUCACAUUUUACAAAUGCUGUAAUGAAAAUUGAGUAAAAUAGUAUUACUAUAAAUAAAUAAAAUUAUGCAUUAACUACAAACAAAAGAAGGAAAAUUGAAAAGGUAGAAGAGAUAACUCACCAUCAACAUUCUUUGGAACAAGAAAUAGAGUAACCAAUAAAAUAAUAACAAAAGCAAACGUGAGAGUAUUAAACAUAUUUUUAUCUCUUUUCAAGUAAAAAGUAGAAUAUGAUUUAAUGAUUUUAUAGUGAUUAAAGUGUGUGUUAUGCUUAAAACAAUUAAAAGUUUUAAUAACUUAAUGAGUUGUUGAAAACAUCCUUACAUUUAUAUAUAAUAAAUGUCUCUUAGGUAGAUCAAGGUGUUGUGUUGGUCACUUCACCACACCUAAUAGAUGGGUAACAUAAAAAAUAAAAACUUGGUCAUCAUUUUAGAUUAUUUUUUAAUUAAAUUUUCAAUAUUUGAUAAUUUAAAGGGGAAAAUUAUGGUAUUUGGCAUGCAUGUACUUGACAAGAGCUACAUAACUAAGGAUCAUGUUAACAAGAUUCUUAAAAGUUUACCGGCCAAGUGGAGACGUAAGCUUACUACCAUUCAGGAAGCUACAGAUCUGAACAAGCUAGGAUCGGAAUCCCUCAUUAGCAACAUGGAAUUCAAUCAUGAUGAGGCUAAACCUAAAUCCAAGUCUAUAAUGCUCAAAUCCAAAGGCAAAAAUGGUCAAAGGUCUGCAGGCUGAAGAUGAAGCUCCAAAGGAAGCUAAUGAAGAUGUUGAGGUUUUUAAUGAUGAUGAACUGGAAAUCCUAACCAGAAGAGUUCAAUAACUAUGGAAGCAAAGACGUCGAUCUCCUAGAAAAGGUGAUUUUUCCUCCAGGGGUUGAAGCUUCAGAGAGAAUAUGGAAGAACCAAAAAACUACUUUCACUACAAGAGGUCUGGCCACAUCAAAGCUAAUUGUCCAGUUCUUCAAAAUUACAAAUCCAAGAAGGAAAGCUUCAAAAACAAAGUGAAGAAGAGUCUCAUGGUUACAAUGGAAAUGUGACACCCCAUACUAAAUUUAUCUAGAAUAUUUAGCAUGUACAUUAACUUAGUAUUUGAUACAUUAAAAUUAUAGCAGAAUUUCUUUCGAAUGAAUAUAUAAAUCAAUACAAGUCCGUACAUAUGAUGAAAGCCAACUAUCAAAUACAUAUAUAUGAUACAUAUUUGAAAUUCAUGAGAAAUAAUCUAAAACUGGUAUGAAACGAGCAUUUAACGAUAACUCAUUCAGUUGCAUAUAUGCCUCUUUUUCCUACGAGCAACCUGCGGAUCUGUAAAAUAAAUAUAGAUGGGGGUGAGACAUUAUGUCUUAGUGAGUUCCACCUAUCCUAGGUUUUAGGCAAUCUCGGGGAAACCUAUGAUCGCCAUCUGUCUAAACUCAACCCGUUUGGGUUCAUACAAUUUUGUUCUACAUAACCGAACAAUCAGGGGAAAACUAGGGUCUUUAUAUGUGUUCUAUCAUAAGUCUGAUCUUAAGUAUAGCAUAUUCGUAUUCUGUUUACAUAUUAAUUUUAGAAGGUUAGCGUUGAACAAUCAAAUUAUAAUCUGAGUGCAUUUUCUGGAGUGGAUCCCUAUGGGAGUAACCCUAGUCACCAUCCCAUUGCUAUUAGGUGAAAACGCAUAUCUAAGGCUAAUCACCGGAACUCCUUUGACUACGUAUGGUUUACCAUAUAUGAUAAACCCAUCCAGCGGAACCUGGAGCCUUCUGAGGGACACAACUUAUUUAUUAUUAUAUUUCUCUAACAUAUAUCUGAUAUGCCUUCUAAUCAUGUGCAUAUCUGAUGCAUGUUGCUAAUUGGAUUCACAUAUUGUUGUUCUAUGCAUAUAUCUAAUAUGCCUUUGGUUACAUCAAUAACAUAGCUAUUCUUGACUAUCUAACUCGAGUCUCUAUUAGGUUCCCGUUUCUAAGGGUUAGACUCCUACCCAUGCAUUUUCAUAUCUACAUAUAUAAGUUAAAACUCUCGUGCAUUAUGCAACAAUAAACCUAUGUCUUACUUGCUUCACAUUUAUUAUUUUAAAAGAAAGUCUUUCCGGAAGUGCAAAUAGGUCUCUGUGCAUGAACUGUUCAUUUAAAGAAAAUAGUGAAAGUUUGAUGUACAUGACAGCUCGCUUGGCGGGCAUUUGCUCGUUUGGCGAAGCCAACAACUGAGAGGCUCGCUUGGAGAGCUAACACCUCCCCAUUGUGAGCUUAGUUAGAAGCCAAGCUUGUCUUGAUCGCUUUGGCAAGCUCUAGCUCGCUUCAGCAAGCAUGACAGGACAACAUACCUGCAAAAUCAUGUUUCUAAGUUCAAAAUGCAUACCCAAACACCCAAAAGGGGUAUGCAGUUCUAGAAGGCAUAUAAUUAGUGAGAUUUCUAUUUAUAAAGCAAGAAUAAUAGGUUAUCAAUUCCAAUACACAAAAAGGGCAACUAAUUCAUAAUUAAUCUAACAAUUUCAUGUUAUCUCACAUAACACACAACACCCCAUAGGUGGGAGCUAGUGAUGACAGGUCAUCUUACGUUAUUCUUAGCAUGUUUUUCAGUUAUUUUCAAUACAGUUUAGCAACAAAAAGGAGGAGUAUGAGAGAAAUUGCCUAUGAUUUCGGGACUAUUGUAAUGUUUUCCAUAUUUGAUUAUGUAAUUCUAGUUUUCCCGAAACAUAGCAAUUUUAGUGGUUUUUUUUUAAGUAAUUCACAAAGAGAUCAUGCAAAUCGGCAAAUCCAGAACAUCUGAAGAACUCUGACGACUUAGGAAAACCAAGAAUGAAUAUUCAAGAGGCCUCAUAAGACUUACAAAUUGGAGGAAUUCCGUUCCCAAAGUUCCGAGGAAAGUUAUUUGAAGACGAAGACCUAAAACGACGGAAAAUUGGAGAAUUGGGCCCACGAAAUAGACAUCAUUCACCUAGGGCAUGGAAAAAUGCUUAUGGCAUGAAAUUUACAUCUCAUGCGCCCAGUGCAUCAUCCAUGCGCCUAGGGCAUGCAUUUUUCUCUACUAAUAUGCGCCUAGGGUGUUUGUGAUGUGCCUCGUGCAUGCAAAAAUGCAGGGCACAAUUGUUUUAUCAUGCUUCUGUGAUGGGUAAAGCCCGCACUUUAAGCCCAAACCCAGGUAGAAACAAAUCAAAAUUACUCUCACUUCCCCUAAGCUCUACUAGAAUGACACUGACACCCCCUUAAGUUUUUAUCUAAUAUACAAACACAUCCUUUUAAUUUUCUGCUACUAUUUAUUUAUUUUCUUUUUUUUGGAAAUUUUCGUUAAAAUUUCUUUUAUGAAACUUCAACAACACAUAAAAAGUCAGAUUCCAAUCUGUUAAUCAUUGAGCGAAAAACCCUUGUCCACUACUGCUGGUGCAAUUUGCAAUGAAAUUAAGAGAGAGUGGGUACUAAUAAGAACCUUCCAUUGAAUAACAUUCACUGAAACUAGUAACAAAACUACUGAUCUACAUAAUUCCAACUUGCUUCAAAAACAAUGAAAAGCCACACUCUAAAACACAUAAACUCAACAAAGUUUCAGUAACUUUUACUUCCAUCUUCAAUGCUACAUCAAACCAUCGAAUUCAAUCACAACACAUAAAGGUCAGAUUCUAUUCCGUUUAACCAAAAAUUUCUUCCAUCGCCAAAAUAAUUUGAUGUGUGCAUUUGUUGAUAAAUUGUGGUGGAAAAAGAAGUGCACUUUUGUUGAAUGUUUGAUCCAGACCAGUGCUCAUGUUUGGACUUAGUUGAUGACAUUAGUGGAUUGACUAUCGAUGGUUGAUUUACAAUGCGGGUUUAUCUAUUGCCAUUCCAAUUAAAUAUUAAAGGAAAAUUCUCUCUCAAAACAAAAGUUAACGGAAAAUUAUGGGUGUUAAUAGAGAAGUGAGGUCCUUGACUACAUGAUGAUAACUUAGCAGGGUUUAUGUAAUGUUUUAAACUAGAGAAGAGAUCAACAUCCUUUUAAUUGAUCUACUGAAAAGUGAGCAUAAUUUUCCCUAUCUGAGGUGAAUGAAGAGUAGCUGGUAGCCACAAUAUUCGGGUGCUUCAGAAUGUCUUGGACACGCCCGUAUUGCCUCUUCAUCCAUUAUGGCAAGUGACGACACAUUGUCCCUUUGCUAACAAUAAUCCAACCAGAGUACCAAUAUAUAUCUGCUAAUGGCACAACAUCCCGAUGAUCAGUGUAUGAGCUGAAUAUGACGUCCUCCACCUCCAGCCAAUCUAGGAUGCCUCGAUAGUGACUCACUGAAGUGUGGCCCCUUUUCGAAACAAAACAGUUGGCACGUGGGAACUGAAGUGUUCCAAAAACCCAUGCCUACAAAUAUAAACAAACAAACUUAUUACGGCAAAUACAUUUAUAUACAUCAACACACACACACACACACACACAUAUAUAUAUAUAUAUAUAUAUAUAUAUAUAUAUAUAUAUACAUUUUUAAAAACACAUUUAUAGUACAAUAUACAACAAAUUAAAUUACUACCUCAAGUAAAGACGAGUAUCCGCCAAUGGAGACCUUCUCGGGGUCGAUAGCCUUAGAAAGCUGGUUGUAGAGAUUAACCUAUCACAUCCCACCUCAUAACCACUCAUGCACCCUGCUGAAAUUCUGCAUUCCUUCAAGCCAUAUCAUCUUAAUGUGUUUGUUUCUCUUACCGUAGAGAAUGGUGCAUCAAACCAAGAACAACAUGAAAACCCUCAAGCAAUAAUCAUGUGUGAGGUCUUUCUCCGCCUCCUCUUCAUAAUCAGUCGGCUCCUACAAGUCAUUGUCUUGACUAAGGUAUUUCAUGAAUAACUUCUCCAGCCAAGAAAUACCAACAUAGCCACUUCAUUGUGCGUAUGUUUGAGAAAUCGCCUUCUCCUCAGUUACACCCAACAAAUUCGUUAAAAUCUCAAUACCAUACUCAUAAGUAAUCUAGUCGGUGUGUCUUGUCAGCUUCCCUUCGAUGGCAAUGUAUAGUAGACACGUCACAUCAUUGAGUGUUACAACCAUCUCCCCCAACAGGUAAAGGGAAGAUGUUGGUUUUUUUAUGCCACCUCUUAGACAAUGCGGUCAUAAGGGCACUAUUGAUGCUAGCAAACCUGAUCUAAAGUAGUGGUGCAAGAUCGGAUGCAUUAAGUCUACUCCAUAGCUGAUAUGAAGUUUAUGCUGGGAUCUCCAAUUUUCCGGUCUUAAUCUUCCUCGCAUGUGAUAUAGCCUUUACAUAAUGUGUCAUCUUAAACUGAAAUAGAAAACAUAAAACAAACCAUUAAAAAUACAAACAUUUGAAUAAUUAAAAAACUAAACGUUUCAAUAUAACAUUUUAACCAUUAAAAAUAUAAUAAUUAAAUUAAACAUUUUAAUCAUUAAAAACAAACAAUUAGAAUUACUUCGAUGUCGCUCCAAAGCUUGUAGGUGACAUUCCCAACAAAUGACGAUAAAAGUGACAAGUCAGCAGGGCCCUCGGUAAAAGAAUUUUGUGCGGGUGGAGCUUUCUAGCCUCCUCUGCAUGGUGUAACACCACAAACUGGUAAGGCUGCUCGUAGUGCUUCUCAGGCUGCACGUAGCACCCCUAAGCAGCGUGGUAGUACUAGUCAUCCUUAUAGUGUUGGCUAGGGUGCACUAUAUGGGACGCACCCGUCUGAGACGUCCCCUCGUGCCUCUCCUACGUCCACGUCCCUUAUUAGUAACAAGGUUCUCCGCCACCCUCUCUCUACAUGCAUUGUCCGUCAUUGUGUCUUUGCAAAGUCGGUGCCUAUUUUGAUUGUCAUACAUAUCUACACGACAUAAAACAAUGAAAAAAUCAAUCAAUUUUUCAUUGAGACAUUUAUCAAACACUUGGAGUUCAAUCUCUAUAUUAUGAGUUCAUUGUGUUAUUUCAAUCUCUAAACUACCAUACUGGAGUGAAACUUACUCUAAUCAACAUCCAAAGUCCAAUUUCCAACUUAUUUGAUCAUUAACAUGCAAAAAAAACCUACAUUUCAUAUACCCUAAAAAACAUUUAUAAAAAAAAUCUUACAUUUUUUUUUUUUUUUUUAUAAAAAAAGGACCAAUGCAAAAUGAUACUUACAAGUAGUUGAUUUGCUAAAGUUGAAGUUGAAAUUAGAUUUUCUUGCAUUGAGAGGGAGAAAUUCAUUUUUUGUUUUUUUGCCUUUUGGAAGUAUGGCAGAACCAGUGGCGGAGCCAGGAAUAUUGUAAAGCCCGGGCAAAAAAAAAUUUGCAACACAUUUAUAGGGAGUACAUAAGAAAUUGCAAGCAAAUAAUAAAAAAUGUAAAGAAAUUGCCCAAUUUAUAGGGGUUUAUAUAAGAAAUUCAUAGGGAUUUACACAAGAAAUUGCAAAAACUUUGGCCCGGAACCCGGGCGAGUGCCCGGGAUCGCCGGGCCUUAGAACCGCCCCUGGGCAGAACUGCUGCUAUUUUGGAAUAAAUUAAAACUUAAUGGCAGUUAACUACCGUUUAUGUCAAUAGAGAAAUUUUUAGAUGUAAAUGAACAAUUUUGUAAAUGAAAAGAGAAAAUUCCGAAGAUACGAAAAGAGUGAAUAGUAAAAUGCGACAUGUAUAGAAAACAAGUCUUAUUUGUAUAUUUUGUCCAAAAAAAAUUAUUAUUUGUACAUUAAGAACGAUAUUAAUACGAUUAUUUUGUGAUAAAUUUUAAGGAAUAUUUUUUUUUUGGUAGAUGAUAUUUAUAUGUCCUCAUAAGCAUAGCUCACUUGGUAAAGACAAUGUAUAAAAUAUGCAAGGUCCGAGGUUCAAACUUCGGCCACCACAAAAAAAGAUGAUAUUUAUACAAUUUUUUUUUUGAACGGCGUGAUAUUCAUACAAUGUUUCUCUCUAUUUUUUUUUUUUUUGGUAGAUAGACGAAAUGACAAAGUCAUUAUAAACUCACACACACAACACAAGUGGAAGGUACCGAGGUUCGAACCCCGAUCAUGGCAUACGGCCUAACAAUUUUGGCAUUUUACCAGUUGAGUUAGGACUUCUGCAUAUGUUUCUCUCUUUUUAAUGUCAAGAAACAAGAGAGAAAUAAUAUAUAAAAAAGUUGAUUAAAAUUUUCAUGGUCGUAUAACUUAAUAUCUAUUGAUAUAAAUAUAGUAAUUGUGAAAGAAAAAGAAGAAAGUCAUAUAUGACAUUGUGGUUGGCCAAGGUCACCAACCACAAUGUCACCCAAUACUACACAGAUUCUAGAGCCCGGCACGGCCUGCGUUGGGCAUGGGCCAGCCCGGCCCGACCCGUUUUAGUCUUAUGUUUUAAAUUUAAUCACUCUUUUUUAUGUAUUUUUUAUGUAUUAAUUACUCACAACUAUUUUUUUGCUAAAAUAUGAUUGGAUGAACAUAAAAAUGUAAACAAUUUUUACAUUAACGUUGAAUAAUAGUUAAACUCUAGAUUAUUACUUCAAUUAAAUCAAAUUAAUAAUUUAUAAAAUUUAAAAUUUUAAAACUUUAAGCUAAAUUCAUUCAUACUUAUUAAGUUUAUUUAUUUAACAUUUUUUUUAUUAAUAAAUUUUAAAUUAGUUGAUAAUUUUUUAAAAAAUAUACUAUUUUUUUAACAAAAAUCAAAUGAAAUAUGAGCUAAUGAGCCGACCCAAAGCCUGAUGAACCAGUCUGGUCUGGCCCAACUUUUGUAUGAGCCAAAUGGGUUUGGGCUAAAAAAAACCCCAAGUACAUUUUUGGGCUAGUUUUUUAGGCCCAACCCAACCCAAAAACAUGGGCCAAUGUGCCGGCCUAUUAGGCCAGUCCAUUUUUGACAGCUCUACUUCCAUCUAUCUCUCUAGUUAAGUCACAUAAGUAAAAUCUGACAAGGAAGAUGACCUACUUCCAUGGUUCUUUAUUUCAUGCAUUGAAAAUGCACAGUUUGGAUGGCACAGCGAACUUAGUUAGUUGGAUGGUAAAAUCUAGGAGCAUAACUUAAUUUCAAUAAUUUAAUUUUCAAAAUGCUGCAUUUGGAUGAACCAUUGGUUAUAACGCCCACACUCCAAAUUUCAACCUCAAAGAAAUAAACAAAAAUGUUGCACCCAUUUUCAUUUCGUUGCUCCAACCAUGCUUCUACCACACCGUUUCCUUCCUUAUUACUCCUCAAUACUACGUCGUUUCACCUCGCAGGUAAAUCUCCCACUUUCCCGUUUCUUCGCCGGCCGUUCAAUCCACCGGCGCUCCGGUCAGUUCACCAUGUGAGAGCUGUUUCGUCUUUACCACUCUUUGAUUUCAGCGGAGGCAAAGGGUAUGUACAUCUAAUUUCUCCUGAAAACCCUUGUUUACGCUUUAUUGUUAAUUUAUUUGUUGUUAUUUUUCUUUCACUGAUGUUGAAGUUGGGAAUAAUUCUUUGGUGGACCACUCAAGUGGUCUUAAAUGCAAUAUAUCCAGAGCUCAAGUGGUUAAUAAACUCUACUCAAGUUUGGUCAGACUUGACAAGAUCCUUUCUUGAGAACAGGGUCGGCCUAAGGUUAAGGUCACUAAAGUUCUAGCUUUAGGUCUACGAACAAAAGUAUAUUUUUAAUUAAAUUAAAGUAAAAAGGCCUCGUAUGCAGACAAAAUGUCUAAAAACUUGUUUUAGGCCUCACUUACUAUUGAAGAUUAUUGGGCCGGUCAUGUCGGGGAUCCCCUUUCCCUGGGAACUAGUUUGCUAACAAAAAUAUAUUUGAUAUCUCAACCUACAAUUUAUUUGAUCUAUAAAGCACAAUACUGACAUGGAUAUCGGACAUGACAUAUAUGCUGACAUGUCGACACCGCUAAUAAUUUGAUAAAAUCACAUAAUUUAGUGUUAUCAUAUGUGUCGGUGUUGGACAUCAAUGCGUGUCCAACACUGGGACACGCCUAAUCCGAUGAGCAUCCGUGCUUCGUAAUAUUUGAUGGCUGGUAGUAUAUGUUAUCUUGAGCAUAACAAAAUAGGACCAGUAGAACUCAUGUUUUGGCAUGCUCAACGGAAUAUACAUGUGUUGUAUCAUUUUGUUGUGCUUUGUUUUCUGUGGAAUUGUUGUAACAAUAGACGUGAGAUAGAUUGAGGAAAGAAGUAGUUUUGUAUCGGAUUGUUGUAUGGACUGGACUGGUUUGGCACACCUUAUGCUGUUAGAUAUAAUCUAAUUUACCAGUUAAUAUAACUUUUCCUUUGCCAAAUAAUAAAAUAAAAUGUGAUGGGUUAAAUACAGUUUCGUCCCCCUAUUUUACCUCAUUCACAAUUUUCGUCCCUCAUUUAUAAAUUCAGUAUCUUGGUAACCAAGUUGUCAAAGUACUUCGGUCUCGCUCAAAAAAAAAAAAAAGUACUUCGGUCUGAAUUUUAAUCAUAUGGCACACGAGAUGUUUAUUGGCUUUUUUUAAGAACAUUUUGACAAUUUUUCUCAACUAUGCAUCUCUCUUGCCACAUCAUCGAAUUCAGUCUCAAAUGCAUAUGUGAAGAUGUUAAUUGUUCUGAAAACUGGGGAAUCAAAAUUGUGUAUCUAAAAUAUGGGGACCGAAAUUGAUGAUGAGAUAAAAUAGUGAGAUCGGCAAUGUAUUUAAGCCUUAUAUUGAUUAAUCUUUGUUAUCCUCUCCCUCCAUCUCAUGUUACAAGUUGUUUAUAGUUUAACACAUGAACAUUAGGAAAAGUAUUAUAGACUUUUCUAAAUUGUCAUUUGUAAGAGUAUCAAAGAGAUAUUGAACAUGGCUAAGGGUAUAAUAGAAAAGAAACAGUUAAAUUUCAAUUUGCUUCUCUGUAUAUAGAAUAGUUUGAGCAGUUCGGGUAGGCUUAUUUAUUUCUAGUUAGACAGCAUUGUAUUUUAUACAUUUAAUCUGUAUUAUAUUUUUACUGAAAUCAUUGAAAUGGAGAUGUAAAUUUGUUCAUUCGUGAGAUCAUAUAUAAUAUUCUUCUUGCCAGCUGAGACUUUGUAAUAUCAAAGGCUGUUUAUACUCAUUUGCCUUUGUCAUUUUGCAGCAUGAGUGGGUUCUGUGAUGUUGAACUAAAAGUUCGCGAUUAUGAAUUGGAUCAGUUUGGUGUGGUCAACAAUUCUGUUUAUGCAGGUUAUUGCCAACAUGGUGAGACCGUAUGAGCUAUUACGUGUAGAUUUUCAGUACCAAAAAUUGUUACUUUAAUCUCUCUAGAUCACUUUUUCUAGACGAUGUUUUUAGAAAACUAUUUUAUAAGUAUAUCUCUUGUAAUUGAUAUAUAAAAUUGAAAACAGAUGUUAAUUUUGAACUGUUUAGAAAUCUAAAAUGAAAACUAAAGUUUGACAUGACAUGAUUAGGACAGAAGUGCUGUGGUAAUUUGAUGACUUUAGGAUAAAAAUAUUGUUUAGAGUCAGUGUCUUUAAUCUCUUUCUGUAGGGAAAAAAUCUAUAGUUUGAUUUAUACUCUUGAGUUGAUGACUUGAGUUUACAGUUGCAGUCCAUAUUAAAAUUUACCUGUGUUAAGAGUAUCCAUUUAGUAAGCAACAAAACCAGAAUCGACUUUGUUUUAUCAUGAUUAAACAAAGUUAUAGACUCAAUGAUCAUAUCAAGAAGAAAAUGUGAUUGGUCUAAACCUUGAUUAAAAGGUGUUAUUCACAAUACUCGGCUUAUUAUGGUUUUGUGCUUGCGGUAAUGUCUUAAACUUUGGAUUUUGGAGGGUGAUAUCAAAACUUUUCUGUGCAAACUUUCAUGCAAUCUAACAGUUAUCGACAUGGCUAGCAUCUUUUUGUCCUUUAGGUGUUGUACACAUGGUGUUUUCAUAUUUGAUCCUGGUUUAUUUGGUCCUUUUUGAUUGUUGGGAUCAGGAGGGGUAGCCCUUAAAGGAUCCUUAAUUGAAAUAUGUUAGAUUAAUUAUUUGUAAAAAUUUUAAUGUAUCGUUCUGAAUUUUGUAGCAAUUAAAAGCUAUACUUUGUUUCUUCCACGCAUAAACCUGAUUGUUUAUAUGCAAAUACCUUCAUAAGGUCGUCAUGAAUUUUUGGAAAGCAUAGGCAUUAAUUGUGAUGCCGUGGCUCGCUGUGGUGAUGCAUUGGCAUUGUCUGAACUAUCCUUCAAAUUCCUUGCACCUCUAAGAGUAAGUCAUGCAGAAUUUAUCGGCCAUUUGUGUUUGUUAGGUAUAAUCUCCUGAUACAAUGUAGUACUGUUAAAGGAUAUGACAUAUUUUUGCCAAUGUUUGUUCUGAUUUUAAAAAACAUGCAACCAGAGUGGAGACAGAUUUGUCGUAAAAGUUAGAGUUUCUGGCUCUUCAGCUGCACGCAUAUACUUCGAUCACUUCAUCUAUAAGCUACCAAACCAAGAGGUCCUUUUCUAUCCCUUAUAGUUCACUCUUUUUUUUUUUACCAUCUUCAAAAAUGUUUCUUGAUAUUGGUGUAUUUGAAUGACAGCCUAUUUUGGAAGCCAAGGCCACAGCAGUGUGGCUUGACAAAAACUAUCGUCCUAUUCGAAUUCCGGCAGAUAUUAAGUCUAAAUUUGUUAAAUUUAUUCGCAAUGAAGACUCGUGAUGCAUAUUUCAGAUGAACAUUUGAUUGAUUGAUCAUUGCAAAAGUUAACUGUUUUUGUACUUGCCUUAAACUUGUCAUGUGUAUAGGCAAGGAGGUAGCGGUACUGUAGCACCGGGUAGCACCAUUCUAUAAUGCAGAGUCCAGUAAUAUUAAAGAAUCAAAGGCCUACUGUAAACCAAGAAAAAUACUCUUCUCACUUAUGAAAUUGCUCAUUCCCUUAUAUCAGCGACAGUUAACCGUCGCUGAUAUAAGAGAAUGAACAAUUUUGAAAGGGACAAGAGCAAUUUUCGUAAACCAAAUUCUAGCAAUACUAAACAAUUUAGUUAUAGCAGUAUAGGGACUUUUGCCUCUUCUUAGUUUAUGUGAAAUACCUUCAUAAGGUCGUCAUAAGAAAUUGCUUAGUUUCUUAUGCUGUUGAGAAAUUUCUUGGAGGUAUUCAUGUGAAGUUGUUGAAUUUUUUUUUGACAAUGUGAAAUUAAAUUCAAAAUUUAAACUUUAUAUACUAAAGAAUGUGCUUUAGCUUCAAAUAUGGCGGCUUUUAAAGUUAGCUACUUGAAGUCCAGUUGUUGGAACAAUGAUUUAUUUAUUUAUAAACAAAUAGAAACUACAAUGUUUGUCAUAUAUUGUGUAAUUGUUUUCUAAAUGAGUCAAGUAAUCAUCUACCCCAUAUAAUUUUUUUAUUUGACAAGUUUAUUAUAUUGGUAGUAUUCGGUAAGAUGUGUCUUUUAAGUUAGAGUUUUAGAAUACAUUAUGAUAAAUGGUUGGUGUUGAAUAUAAAAUUAAAUUGUACAAGAAAUAUUAUGAUUGCAUCAUACUGAUACAUGGUUCAUAACCACACCAUAUUUUAAAUCAGUUUUCUUUACAUGUUGUAAGUCUAUUUUACAUGUAAAUGAAUAUUUUUUAACUUCUAAAACAUAAAAAAAUUAAGGGUCUGAUACACACAAUGCAAUAAUGUGGAGUCUAAAACUGCAGCUAAAACUAUAGUUAUAGUUCGUUUACCACAGAUACUUUUGACUUGACUAUUGUUGUUGCUCUAUGCCUAGAAGUCUUGCAGCAUACUAUACUUUCAAUUCUCUGUUUAAAACUGAAAUUUUGGCACGUACAGAAAGUUGUCGAACAUGAUGUCAGGACAAGCAGAAUGUCGAGAAGGAAAACAUCAUGACAACACAAGAUAACAAAUAGCAACUUAAAGAUAAAAGCUGAAAGUAAAUGACACAAGUUAUUUGUUAACCCAGUUCAGUGCAAUGUCACUUACAUCCGAGGCUACCAAGUCAGGAAGAAAAUCCAUUAUAAUAGUAUUAGUUUGAAGCUUGCAUAAACAACCUCAAAUCUACUAGCUUUGCACCUAAUCACUACCCGUGUAAUUUCUAUCUAAGACUCUCCUAGAUAUGAAACCUCUCUCACUUCCCCUCAAUCACUCACCAGUGAUAAUCAAAUACAAUGAAAAUGGAGACACACUCCGCGAAACAGAAUUCACUCUAGCUUAACAAAAUGCGGCCAACUAUAGUCUACAAACCUAACAAAAACCAUUGCUAUUAGUUCUCGUCAUUAAGCAUUUUCUAUCAAAUCUUACUUAGUGCAGAACAAGUUUUAAUAGUUCAUUCUUAAGAAAAAGAAAACGGGUUACAAAGUAGUAUAAUAUCCAUGUAUAUGCAGAGUUUUCUUGAUACACAUUAGAAUACUUCAAAAUUAACUGAUAAAUAAACACAGUUAAAUGAAGACAACCUUAUGAGUUAUCUCGGACAGUAGAAACUGGGGUUUAUUAAAUUUAAAAACCAAUAGGUCAAUGCAAUUAUAGGCAUGGACGCAUGGUUAUUUUUCUACCUAAAUAAUUAUCUGGUAAUUGAUUGCCUAAAAAAGAAAUCAUAUGUUGAUUGAAAGUGAUACAAUUAUUUAUUACCUAAUCAACAUAACAAACAAAGCCAAUGACUUGGAGCAUCUCUCGUGAAGAAAUUUUCUUCCUUUUGUUUACACAUAACAACCUUCAAGUUGUAUUAUUCAAGUGACUCAAGAAUCAAAAAUAGUCUUCGUCAAAAAAGUUAUAAUAAAAAAUAUGCAAUCAUACUUGUAUUGCGUCUAUAAAAUUAUUUGCUUUACUCAAGAGAAACUACAAAGUUUCAACAAAAGUCAUUGAAACUAAGUUUUUUUUUUUUUUUUUUACGUGUAAUGUCAACAAUCUAUCCACCACCAUCACAGAAUACACCUUUGCCUCCUGACGGGACUGUGCCGGUGCCUUGGUCAUGGAGUCCGCCUAUGCCCACAUGGCCACCACCCAUAUCAUCAAAUGGGUUAGCAUCCGAUGAUUCUUCUUCUUCAUCUUCAUCAACAUCAACAUUUGGUAUCGGUGUUGGUGUCGCUGUUGGGGUCCUCGGGGUUAUUUUGUUGUUUGCGAUUUGGCACAAGUAUCUUAGGAAGAAGAGUUGUUGUUCUUCAAGUUCAAAGUGUUAAAUGACUUUGAAUUUCAUCCUUAAAACGAGCUUCAAAUUCAAAAGUCUUGGAAUAUGAGCAAUGUGUGACCAAAAUGUAACUUCAAUUCAAUACAAAAGUGAAUAAUCCUUGGAACUUAUAAACAUUUUUAUUUUAGUGUGCACUUUUCAUUCAUUACAAUAGCAUAUGCUUGUGCGUAUCGAGAUUUGGAUUAUUCAUGUGUAUUGCAAAAUUCUACUUGAAUUUUUUUAAAGUUGAAACGUUUACUGUAUAUCAUUCAAGCAUUCUACGAUAUUGGAUUGCUCAUGUCUCAUAGCAUGAAAGUGAGAAUACUUUAAUUUACCAAGUAUUCGUGUUUCUCAAACUUUCAAUGUUUAACCUUUAAAUUCAAACUUUCCAAAAAAAUAUAAAGUCUACCAAUUAGUAGUAGUAAUUAAUUAUACAAUUAUAAGUCAGAGAAAAAAAUUGUCUUGCCUAAUUUGGGAUAGUGGGAGUAAUAAAUAAUAUGUUAAAUUACUCUUUUAAUCCCUUAUUUAAUUUCAUAUAAUACUUUGAUCUUUUAUCUUUUUUUCAUUUCAAUUUUGUCAUCUAAUUCAUUUACAUAUGAAUUUUCAAAUUUCAAAUUCAUAGUUUUAUUUUCUUAUGACCUUUCAAUCUUUAAAUCUAUGGUCUUCAUCUAUGUUUACAUAAGAA
RNAcentral lists this long non-coding RNA (19444 nucleotides) under Medicago truncatula (barrel medic). RNAcentral describes it as "long non-coding RNA (MTRU_LNC003272)". Lineage: Eukaryota; Viridiplantae; Streptophyta; Magnoliopsida; Fabales; Fabaceae. The record is from RNAcentral.